RNAcentral lists this long non-coding RNA (397 nucleotides) under Elaeis guineensis (African oil palm). Its description in RNAcentral is "long non-coding RNA (EGUI_LNC002768)". The record is from RNAcentral. Lineage: Eukaryota; Viridiplantae; Streptophyta; Magnoliopsida; Arecales; Arecaceae.
UGGAGACCGACUCAACAUCGAUCAGUGCCAACCUUUCUAGGGUGGCCUGAUAUCUUCCACAUUCGGCUUCAAGUUUAUCAAUGCACCCAUCCCUCUCUCGUUGAAGCUGAUGGAUGGAGUGCUUUUUGCUCUUGAUCCGUGAUUCAAGAGACAAGAUACUCUGACAAGCCGACUCAAGUUUGGCUCCGGAGGAUUAUAGAUCGGCGGUCAAAUGGGAGACUUCUUCCUAAAGCUUUGCCUCCUGUUCAGUCAUCGCCUGGAGUUGUUCAAGGGCAGCCAUUUUCUCAACAUUGAAGGCUGCCACUUUGUCUAUCUAGGAUUGACGGAAGUCAAUAAUCUUCCGAUAGCUAACCUCCAGAUUGUGCAUGUCAUGUGCCCACUGAAAGCAGAAGAUAAG